This 1317-nucleotide ribosomal RNA is filed under the name Triticum aestivum (bread wheat). RNAcentral's name for it is "partial small subunit ribosomal RNA". Lineage: Eukaryota; Viridiplantae; Streptophyta; Magnoliopsida; Poales; Poaceae. The record is from RNAcentral.
AUGGCCGAUAGGGCGAAGGUCGUGGCCGUCGUGGUCGCCGCCGGCGUGGGCGCGGCGGUGCUCGCGGCGGCGUGCGUGUUCCUGGCCAUCUGGAUGUACCGGCGGCGGGCCAGCGUGGUGGCGCGGACGCGGACGCGGUCGCUCGAGUCCUCCACGGCCACGCUGCGGGCCAACGGCUCCACCGCCAGCCUCGACUCCAGCGUCUCCGUCUCCGUCGUCUCCGAGAGCGUCGCCGACUGGGGCCACAGCCCGCUGCCGCCGGGGAAGCGCGUCGCCUUCUGGGGCUGGCGGGGCGCCACCAACGCCAGGGACCAGCCCCUCUCCGUCUCCGGGAUCCCCAAGUACCACUACAAGGAUCUGCAGAAGGCUACCAACAACUUCACCACGAUUCUGGGGCAAGGGUCGUUUGGUCCUGUGUACAAGGCUGUAAUGGCUACCGGUGAAGUCGUGGCUGUAAAGGUUCUCGCGAGCGAUUCUACGCAAGGGGAAAGAGAGUUCCAGACAGAGGUAAUUUUGCUUAGUCGGCUGCAUCAUAGAAAUCUUGUUAAUUUGGUUGGAUAUUGCGUGGAAAAAGGCCAACACAUUCUGAUGUAUGAGUACAUGAGCAACGGGAAUCUGGCAACUCUUCUGUAUGGUGAUAAUAAACGGAGUUUGAGCUGGCAAGAGAGGCUACAAAUAGCUCACGACGUCUCUCAUGGGAUUGAGUACCUGCAUGAAGGGGCUGUCCCGCCUGUUAUUCACCGAGACCUAAAGUCUGCUAAUAUACUCUUGGACGAAUCAAUGAGGGCCAAGGUUGCAGACUUUGGUCUAUCAAAGGAGGAAGUAUUUGAUGGAAGUAAGUCAGGUCUCAAGGGCACCUAUGGAUAUAUGGACCCUGAUUACAUGUCCACCAACAAGUUCACAAAGAAGAGCGAUGUUUACAGUUUUGGCAUAAUACUUUUUGAACUCAUAACAGCCAUAAAUCCACAACAAGGCUUAAUGGAGUACAUUGACCUAGCAGCGAUUGGAGGGGAAGGAAAGGUGGACUGGGAUGAGAUACUCGACAAGAACCUCCUUGGCGGGAGCAUUCCGGAAGAGGCAAGGGUCCUUGCCGAUGUCGCCUACCGGUGCAUCAACAGGAGCCCAAGGAAGCGGCCAUGGAUAUCAGAGGUCACCCAGGCCAUUUCAAGGCUAAGGCAGCGGCAGAUGACUUUGCCGAGGAGCGAGACCAGGACCGUGCUAAGGAGGAUAGAGUACCAGCACGUGGAGCUCAGCGAUCUCGCCGGCAUGAAAGAACUCACGCCGGUGUCUAACUUGGGUUGGAAUAGAUGUAAAUAA